GCUCAAAUUUGAAAUCUCACAGGUUUCCUGUGCGAAUUGUAGUUUAGAGAAUCGUUUUCUGUGGCGGCCUGGGCACAAGUUCUCUGGAACGAGGCAUCAUAGAGGGUGAGAAUCCCGUCUUUGGUUUAGUGUCCGCUACUUUGUGAUACGAUUUCGAAGAGUCGGUUUGUUUGGGAAUGCAGACCAAAAUGGGUGGUAAAUACCAUCUAAAGCUAAAUAUUGGCGAGAGACCGAUAGCGAACAAGUACCGUGAGGGAAAGAUGAAAAGAACUUUGAAAAGAGAGUUAAAUAGUACGUGAAAUUGUCAAAAGGGAAACGCUUGAAAUCAGUGUUGCGGCUAGGGAAUCAGUUACUCAUUGGGUAAUGCACUUUUCUAGUUGCAGGUCAGCAUCGAUUUGGUUGGAAGUAAAAUGCAGUUGGAAUGUGACCUUUUAGGUGUUAUAGACUUCUGUGAUGCUUCUGACUGGAUCGAGGAAUGCAGUGUUUUGGGAAGCCUUGUCGCCCUCGAAGAUAUUGAGAAUGACAGCAUGCUGAUAUUUUCAACUAUUUAGAGGAACGGUAGGGUACUUCACUCUCACACUUUGGAUGUUGACAAAAUGGUUUUAAACGACCCGUCUUGAAACACGGACCAAGGAGUCUAACAUGUAUGCGAGUAUUUGGGUGGCAAACCCUUAUGCGUAAUGAAAGUAAUUGGUGGGAUAUUUGCACCAUCGACCGGUCUGGAUUUCUUUGAAAGAUCUGAGUAAGAGCAUAUAUGCUGGGACCCGAAAGAUGGUGAACUAUGCCUGNNNAGGGUGAAGCCAGAGG
RNAcentral lists this ribosomal RNA (807 nucleotides) under Chytridiomycota sp. LLSH2_1 PML-2011e. Its description in RNAcentral is "eukaryotic LSU rRNA". It matches the Rfam family "Eukaryotic large subunit ribosomal RNA", at positions 107 to 858 of the family's 3401-position model. Lineage: Eukaryota; Fungi; Chytridiomycota. The record is from RNAcentral.